GAACGCUAGCGGCAGGCUUAACACAUGCAAGUCGAGGGUAUAGUAGCAAUACUAGAGACCGGCGCACGGGUGCGUAACGCGUAUGCAAUCUACCUUUUGCAGGGGAAUAGCCCAGAGAAAUUUGGAUUAAUGCCCCAUAGUAUAUAGACCUUGCAUGAGGAUUAUAUUAAAGUCACAACGGCAAAAGAUGAGCAUGCGUCCCAUUAGCUAGUUGGUAAGGUAACGGCUUACCAAGGCGACGAUGGGUAGGGGUCCUGAGAGGGAGAUCCCCCACACUGGUACUGAGACACGGACCAGACUCCUACGGGAGGCAGCAGUGAGGAAUAUUGGACAAUGGGCGCAAGCCUGAUCCAGCCAUGCCGCGUGCAGGACGAAGGCCUUCGGGUUGUAAACUGCUUUUGUACAGAACGAAAAGGUCUCUAUUAAUACUGGGGGCUCAUGACGGUACUGUAAGAAUAAGCACCGGCUAACUACGUG
RNAcentral lists this ribosomal RNA (477 nucleotides) under uncultured bacterium. RNAcentral's name for it is "bacterial SSU rRNA". It matches the Rfam family "Bacterial small subunit ribosomal RNA", at positions 31 to 507 of the family's 1533-position model. The record is from RNAcentral.